Long non-coding RNA from Ctenopharyngodon idella (grass carp), 1388 nucleotides. RefSeq lists it as uncharacterized. The transcript has 5 exons. Lineage: Eukaryota; Metazoa; Chordata; Actinopteri; Cypriniformes; Xenocyprididae. The record is from RefSeq and is a predicted model, not a curated record.
UCCUCUGAUAGUCCAAAAUAACAUUGAAUUUGCGCUUAAACGGCUUAGUGCGAUUAUGAAAUUACAAAGCUGCGAUUAUUUUUUUUUUAUGCAGCUUGUCAAUGAAGUAUGGCUCCAUGCUAAUCCAUCUAAUAGCACUGCGAGUUUGAGUUUAUGUUUAUGUUUGUUUAUUUGUAUAGCACAUUUAAAAGCAACACAAGUUGACCAAAGUACUUUCCAUUAAAACAUCACAUAAAAUAAAUAACCAAAACUAAAGCAAAAAAAAAAAAAAAGAACAAACAUGACAUUUACACAAAUGUUGUUUAUAAUGCGCAUUAGAAAAAAGCAACAUGUGUCAAACAUCUUUCCAGACUUCAUAACGUCAGUUGAGCAUCCUUCUGAGAUGAUGUGGCCUUUUAAGCCCGGGAUACACUGCACAAUUUUUGGCUGUCCCAGACGAAAGAUUGUCAUCGUGAAACAAUCGUGGCAAUUUCUGUGAUCAUGGCUCUUAAUCAGUGGUCCUAUGUCGUACAGUGUGAGAGGUUCAAAGACGGACAUUUUCCCGGUCUUGCGACCAAAGAUAGCCUGACGCUGGCUGCGUCCGAAACCGCCUACUUCUCUACUAUUUAGUAGGGGAAAAGCAGUAGGCGAGCGAAUAAGUAUGUCCGAAGCAAAAAGAGUAGGCGAAAAUUACCUGGGUGAUGUACUAAUUCUCGCGAGAUUCGGACGUGCGUCUACUUAAAGUGCGUCCGAAACUGCCUACUUCUCUACUAUAUAAUAGGGAAAAAGCAGUAGGCGAACAAUUAAGUAUGUCAGAAAUCUCAGUAAUCAUAAAUGAGUAGUUGAGAAGUUCCCGGAUGGCCUACUGCUUCCGCCCAGAUUCUGAAGUGUUCCUCGAUUGAUACUUUUCUAUCCCAGGAGGCCAUGGGAGAGGAUAUGUCAUAAUCGAACACGGAGGAGAAAAGCGGUGCGGAUGCUUUCAAAUGGACAGAUGAUCACACGUGUUUAUCUGGUGAUGAAGGAAUGCUGCCAUCAAAGGCUUUGAAGCUUUGUGGUGAAGCAGGACCUACAAGACAAGGAUGUGAAAUGUCCUUAGACUGGUGUGAGCACUGAGGAUGGAGAGCCACAGCAGAUCCUGGAAAUGGUGUAGAGCCAUGGAUGAGACCCUCCAUCACUCCUCCUUCCAAGUGACUUGAUCAAGGACACACUGGAGGUGUACACCACAAAAUCAUGCUGAUGGAGAGCACAUGAAUGUUUGCAGCAGACACAGCAGCAGCCAGAUUGUCCUGCACAUCUUCUCCCACUCUUGCUUCAAGGUUGUGGGGUUCAGGGGUCCAUCAUCAUCAUCUUCCUCAUCCUCUGGAUCAACGAUGUCCCCAUUGAGAAGAGCAGCAGUGAGGGACAUUAUG